AGAGUUUGAUCCUGGCUCAGGUUGAACGCUGGCGGCAUGCCUUACACAUGCAAGUCGAACGCAGCACGGGGGCAACCCUGGUGGCGAGUGGCGAACGGGUGAGUAAUGCAUCGGAACGUGCCCCGUAGCGGGGGAUAACCAGUCGAAAGAUUGGCUAAUACCGCAUACGCUCCACGGAGGAAAGCAGGGGAUCGCAAGACCUUGCACUAUGGGAGCGGCCGAUGCCCGAUUAGCUAGUUGGUGAGGUAAAGGCUCACCAAGGCGACGAUCGGUAGCUGGUCUGAGAGGACGACCAGCCACACUGGGACUGAGACACGGCCCAGACUCCUACGGGAGGCAGCAGUGGGGAAUUUUGGACAAUGGGCGCAAGCCUGAUCCAGCCAUGCCGCGUGCGGGAAGAAGGCCUUCGGGUUGUAACCGCUUUUGGCAGGAACGAAACGGCGCUCGCUAAUACCGAGCGCUAAUGACGGUACCUGCAGAAUAAGCACCGCCUAACUCCGUGCCAGCAGCCGCGGUAAUAC
RNAcentral lists this ribosomal RNA (521 nucleotides) under uncultured bacterium. Its description in RNAcentral is "bacterial SSU rRNA". It matches the Rfam family "Bacterial small subunit ribosomal RNA", at positions 8 to 526 of the family's 1533-position model. The record is from RNAcentral.